This 428-nucleotide ribosomal RNA is filed under the name uncultured bacterium. RNAcentral describes it as "bacterial SSU rRNA". It matches the Rfam family "Bacterial small subunit ribosomal RNA", at positions 354 to 796 of the family's 1533-position model. The record is from RNAcentral.
GUUAGGAAUUUUGCGCAAUGGGGGAAACCCUGACGCAGCAACGCCGCGUGAAGGACGAAGGCUUUCGGGUUGUAAACUUCUUUUAGCAGGAAAGAACACAAUGACGGUACCUGCAGAAAAAGCACCGGCUAACUCUGUGCCAGCAGCCGCGGUAAUACAGAGGGUGCAAGCGUUAUUCGGAAUUACUGGGCAUAAAGAGCGCGUAGGCGGUCUAAUAAGUCUGAUGUGAAAUCCCUGGACUCAAUUCAGGAAGUGCAUCGGAUACUGCUAGACUAGAGUGCAGGAGAGGAGAGCGGAAUUCCUGGUGUAGAGGUGAAAUUCGUAGAUAUCAGGAGGAACAACAGUGGCGAAGGCGGCUCUCUGGACUGCAACUGACGCUGAGGCGCGAAAGCGUGGGGAGCAAACAGGAUUAGAUACCCUAGUAGUCC